Camellia sinensis is the source of this 804-nucleotide non-coding RNA. Lineage: Eukaryota; Viridiplantae; Streptophyta; Magnoliopsida; Ericales; Theaceae. The record is from RefSeq and is a predicted model, not a curated record.
UGUACAGCUUCUCUCUCGCCGUGAAAUUCCAUUACCCCCUUUUCGUUAGAUCUCUUCUCCUUGAUUUCUCGGCUUUCAAUUCGUUCGACGAUCUGCGUUUUGAUUAUGGAUUCGAGUGUUUUCGUUGAGCGAUUCGCUUCCGAUCUUCGAUUCAGAGAUAUGUGGUACAAGACUCAUCCUUUCUUCGGCCAUGGGUGAAUUGACUGGAAAUCGAAAGAUCUAUCGAGGCUCUUAGGCUAUGUUUGUUCUGAACCAUUAGUGCUCGGGCUUUGUUCGUUUGGUUCGAUGCGAAACCUUGCUGUCUUUCUGAAAUUCUUGAGAUCUAAAACGCUCGGUUAGAUCGGUGCAAUCAAUUCAGAUCUCGUGAUUCUUUAUGGAUUCAGAUCGGAUUUUGAUAUGUAGCUGUGAAGGAUUGCUAAAGUGUUUCUUUAUGCUUUUUUUUGAUGGGCUUUCUUUUGUCAUCUUUUUGGUAUAAUAAAGAAGAUAGUUUGUGUGUGUGUGUGUGUUUUCGGUGUAUACCAGAGAGGUAUAGCCUAGGCUAACAAAAAAAAUGUGAGAUGUGUAAUGUUCUACUGGUUGUCAAUCGACCUUUGCCAUGUCAGGUGCGCUUGCUUGGCAGGUCAAAAAAACCCUAAUAAAAAGUUUGUUUUUUGUGUUUGAGGAGGAGAUGGUACGGGGUUUUGCCCGGCUCUCCCCUUCUUGUGUGUUGCGUCUCUCUUUUUUAUUUUUUUAUUUUUUUUGGGUUUUUUCUUGAUUCUGUCCUCCCCAAUUCUCUAUCCAACCCAAUCCGUUGUUCAUCGUGUC